CUAAAAGUGCAUGUCUCAGGG
This 21-nucleotide non-coding RNA is filed under the name Arabidopsis thaliana (thale cress). The record is from RNAcentral. Lineage: Eukaryota; Viridiplantae; Streptophyta; Magnoliopsida; Brassicales; Brassicaceae.